UACGAAGGGGGCGAGCGUUGUUCGGAUUUACUGGGCGUAAAGGGCGCGUAGGCGGCCUCGCAAGUCGAGUGUGAAAGCCCCGGGCUCAACCUGGGAAUUGCGCUCGAGACUGUGGUGCUGGAGUUCGGGAGAGGAGCGUGGAAUUCCCAGUGUAGAGGUGAAAUUCGUAGAUAUUGGGAAGAACACCGGUGGCGAAGGCGGCGCUCUGGACCGAGACUGACGCUGAGGCGCGAAGGCGUGGGGAGCAAACAGG
Molecule: ribosomal RNA, 253 nt
Filed under: uncultured bacterium
Lineage: Bacteria
Description: partial 16S ribosomal RNA
Rfam family: Bacterial small subunit ribosomal RNA
Source: RNAcentral